UUUAUAUUAACUCAAAGGAUGGAGUUAAUAUUACCAAGGGAGAUAAGUGGAAGUUAAUUGGAGGGGCUAGAAGGACACUAGCUCGAGAUCAAGUUUUAGUGUUACAAGAACAAGAUCAAGUCUUAGUGUUGAGAUAGCAAAAAGAAGAGGAGUAAGAAAAAAGAUCCAAUGGAAAGGAUAAUUAGCAGAAAAGAUUAAGACAUUGAAGUUAAGUAUAGUAGAGAGUUGCCUUACAAGAGAAGAGUAUUCAGAAUGGUAUCAAGAUCAAGAAGAGUAGAGGGUUGAGAAACAAUGAUAGGU
RNAcentral lists this long non-coding RNA (300 nucleotides) under Capsella grandiflora. RNAcentral's name for it is "long non-coding RNA (CGRA_LNC001651)". Lineage: Eukaryota; Viridiplantae; Streptophyta; Magnoliopsida; Brassicales; Brassicaceae. The record is from RNAcentral.